RNAcentral lists this long non-coding RNA (1138 nucleotides) under Cricetulus griseus (Chinese hamster). Its description in RNAcentral is "lncRNA (ENSCGRG00015041673.1)". The record is from RNAcentral. Lineage: Eukaryota; Metazoa; Chordata; Mammalia; Rodentia; Cricetidae.
ACCUCAUAGUAGCAGGCACGCUAUCACAGAGGCCUGUAAUCCCAGCCCUGAGGUAAAGGCAUGAGGAUCUGAAGUUGUAGGUUAUUCUUGGCUGCAUAUCCAGCUCAAGGCCAACACGGCUACAUGAGCAUUUAUCUCAGAACAAAACCAAAACAGGGAAGUUACAAAAACCCUCUCUGUAUUUCUUUUCUGGGUCUCCCUUUCCCUCCCUCCCUCCUCAGGCAGAGUCCCAUGUAGGCAGGCUUGACCUUGAACUGGCUAUGUAGCUGAACUGACAUCGAAUUUCUGAUCCUCCUCCCAAGUGCUGGAAUUACAGACAACAGUUAUUUUUUGAUCUUCAGUACAGCCAUUCUGGAACUUUCUCCAACAUAUGCCAGUCCAGAUGAGCCUCCCUCAGGAACCAAACUACAAAUGUGACAUAGGCAGCUAGUAUAAUAAGUGAGAAGAACAGAAAAAUAUGUUACUACCUGGGAAACUAAGGUUGCAGGCUAAUGGACUUGUGUCCAAUAACACCACCUUCCUCAAACAAAAGAAGUGUGGAGCAUUAAUGCAGAGCUUAUACACAAUUAUAUAAGAAAGCCUUUUAAGGACAGACACACACCUAACCAUGGUCAAUUAAGGAGCACACUUCUGAACAUGCGCAGUUCCUUCCCACAUGAUCCUCUGUGGAGAUCAACUUGCAACACAAGAGAAUGUCUUCCCCCACAGCAAAGUGGAAAGAUGUACAUUAUGGAUUGCAGGUAUGUGCUACACUGCCUGGUGUGUAUGAUGCUGGAAGGAUUGGAUCUAGGACCCUAUGCAUACCAGUAAAGUCUCAUAUAUCUUUGGCUGGCCUUUGAACUCAAUAUAUGUCUUAUGAUGACCUUAAAUGAAUCCUCUGGUUAUCACCUCCCAAGCCUGGACUUAGAGAAGUGCAUCAUCGUAUCAGCUUUAUGUGGUCCCGGGGGAGCAGAUCUAUGGCUUCAUGCAUGAGCUAUAGCCCCAUCCCACAUCUCAUUUCUUUUUUUCCACUAGCCUGUCCAGAGCCAAUAGGACGGACUGUGUUAAACACAAAUAAAAAUGAGGAUUCUCUUCUAGUGUUUGAUCUUUAUGCAAUGCGUCCAUCAAGUGCUGCUGUAAGUUGGUGUAUGACCUUUAU